RNAcentral lists this ribosomal RNA (489 nucleotides) under uncultured Oscillospiraceae bacterium. RNAcentral describes it as "bacterial SSU rRNA". It matches the Rfam family "Bacterial small subunit ribosomal RNA", at positions 20 to 507 of the family's 1533-position model. The record is from RNAcentral. Lineage: Bacteria; Bacillati; Bacillota; Clostridia; Eubacteriales; Oscillospiraceae.
UGGCUCAGGAUGAACGCUGGCGGCGUGCUUAACACAUGCAAGUCGAACGAGAAUCAGUGGAACAAGGAUUCGUCUGAGGGAAGCUGAGGAAAGUGGCGGACGGGUGAGUAACGCGUGAGCAAUCUGCCUUGGAGUGGGGAAUAACGGCUGGAAACAGCCGCUAAUACCGCAUGAUGCAUCUGAGUCGCAUGGUUUGGAUGCCAAAGAUUUAUCGCUCUGAGAUGAGCUCGCGUCUGAUUAGCUAGUUGGCGGGGUAAUGGCCCACCAAGGCGACGAUCAGUAGCCGGACUGAGAGGUUGGCCGGCCACAUUGGGACUGAGACACGGCCCAGACUCCUACGGGAGGCAGCAGUGGGGAAUAUUGGGCAAUGGGCGCAAGCCUGACCCAGCAACGCCGCGUGAAGGAAGAAGGCUUUCGGGUUGUAAACUUCUUUUAUUCGGGACGAAGAAAGUGACGGUACCGAAUGAAUAAGCCACGGCUAACUACGUG